Pimephales promelas (fathead minnow) is the source of this 385-nucleotide non-coding RNA. The record is from RefSeq and is a predicted model, not a curated record. Lineage: Eukaryota; Metazoa; Chordata; Actinopteri; Cypriniformes; Leuciscidae.
UGUCUAAGGACAAGUGUUUGUUGAGAUGUGUAUUUGUUUCUUUUUAUAAAUUGAUGUAAAUUUUGAGUUCAUUUAAAUACAAUUGUGAUAUUCAGAAGCGGAUAUUUAAAAUGUAUGUAAAAUGCCUUAGGCGUUUUAAAGUUAGGGGUUCUUUAAGGAGGAUUUACGUAGAAAACGUGAUGUCACAUGACCCGGUUCAGUUUGUAGCGGUUCUGCGUCACUUUGGGUCAGAACGAACAUGAAUGCAGAGAAAUGACAUGUGGUCUGAAAAGAGUUGCUUAAUCUGCAUGGUUUGAGAGGCGCACACGUUUUCACGGUGUCUAUGGUGUCAACUCAAGAGAGAGAGAGAGAGAUAUGUACGAAAUAAACGACAAAGACAUCUGUA